Molecule: ribosomal RNA, 467 nt
Filed under: uncultured bacterium
Lineage: Bacteria
Description: partial 16S ribosomal RNA
Rfam family: Bacterial small subunit ribosomal RNA
Source: RNAcentral
GACGAACGCUGGCGGCGUGCUUAACACAUGCAAGUCGAACGGAAAGUCCCUGCUUUUGUGGGGUGCUCGAGUGGCGAACGGGUGAGUAACACGUGAGUAACCUGCCCUUGACUUUGGGAUAACUUCAGGAAACUGGGGCUAAUACCGGAUAGGAGCUCCUGCUGCAUGGUGGGGGUUGGAAAGUUUCGGCGGUUGGGGAUGGACUCGCGGCUUAUCAGCUGGUUGGUGGGGGAGUGGCUUACCAAGGCUUUGACGGGUAGCCGGCCUGAGAGGGUGACCGGCCACAUUGGGACUGAGAUACGGCCCAGACUCCUACGGGAGGCAGCAGUGGGGAAUAUUGCACAAUGGGCGGAAGCCUGAUGCAGCAACGCCGCGUGCGGGAUGACGGCCUUCGGGUUGUAAACCGCUUUCGCCUGUGACGAAGCGUGAGUGACGGUAAUGGGUAAAGAAGCACCGGCUAACUACGU